AGCAUUACCAAAAGAUCUAGUUAGUAGUAUAUAGAGUCAAAUGUCCCCUUGAGUUCCCUUUAACGCUUCAUUGUUCAUACUUGGUUGUAUAAUAUCUACCGGUAAACCAAUCUAAUGAACACUGAAGUGUUUGGGGGGACUCUAGGUGGUAUAUUGGCACCGAAAGGUUAGAUGAGUUACCGAGCUGUUUUGCAACGACCCGGGAGUUAAAAGAGAGACAUGGCGGCGAGAUCAAAGGAGAGGACCACGUUGAUGCUCUUGAUAAACAACAAGCCUUUAAAUUAUUCAAUAGUCACAUACACACACAACUUGAAAGCAAGAUUAUCACGGAAAUGGAUAUAGAUUCAUCUAGCCAUUACAUUACAUCUCUACUGAAUUGGGAAGACUAAAUGUGAUUGUUCUCUUUACCGA
Molecule: long non-coding RNA, 411 nt
Organism: Eutrema salsugineum
Lineage: Eukaryota; Viridiplantae; Streptophyta; Magnoliopsida; Brassicales; Brassicaceae
Exons: 2
Source: RefSeq, a predicted model, not a curated record